UGUAUGUGUGUGAAAAUCUGUGUGGUCCAAAAUAAUAAAUAACUCAAACAAACAAACAAAAUAAUUCAGGUCUACCCUCAGUCGGUCACAUGAUCCAGGUAGACGUCAGUCACGGCCCUGAUGUGCCCUGACGUGCCCCGAAGCUCACCGUUAGCGCUGCUAAUUUAGAAAUGGAAGACCCGAAGGAGGACAACCAAUGGUCUGGUGCUGCUAAUGUUGAAAGGGAAGACUCAAGGAAGGACAACUGAUGGUCCGAGAUGCCUCGUAAGGAGAGGAGGUUGAAAGAUAAACAAAAGGAGCUGCGUGAGGCUGCGAAAGGCAGUGGAUCACUCACCAGCUGGAUCACAAAGAACACAAAAGUGUCUACAGUCUCAGAUCAAUACAGCCCACCUCCAGCAGUGUCAUCAUCAGUAGCAGCAGCCUCCUCACCAACCCCUUCAACAAAAGCUGUUCAAUGAACCCCAUCAGGUCAAACACAGACUGCCUCCUAACAAAGAUAUGAGGUGUGUCGUAUGUUGUGAUUUUAUGUUUCAUUCUUUAAGAAUAUCUGCUGCUACAAUUCACCCAGGUAUAUUGUAGGUAUGUUUAUGGUGUUUCAAAUUCGUGCUCCAUGUGCCCCCCUUUGAACUUUGAGCACCUGCCCCUCCAAAGGUCUCUGCACGGC
Long non-coding RNA from Acanthochromis polyacanthus (spiny chromis), 664 nucleotides. RefSeq lists it as uncharacterized. The record is from RefSeq and is a predicted model, not a curated record. NCBI's taxonomy places the organism in Eukaryota, Metazoa, Chordata, Actinopteri, Pomacentridae. The transcript is spliced from 3 exons.